GAGUGCAAGAUUUUCUUGUCCAGUUAUUUAAUUAUUUAUUAUAUUCUAUAUUUAUAUUUGCCGCUCAAGGCGACAACUUAAUUAUUAUGAUUAUUGUUUGACUGUGAUGGCGUCGUUUUCGCGCGCAGCCGAGCUGCAUAUACCACACUCUCCGACUCGCUCGCUGUGACUCUCACUUGUUGCUUGGACACUUGUCUGUUUUGUGUAUUACUACGUAGUUACAACUCAAGCAUCUUUAUUAAUAUUAUUAACUUAAUAAUACGUAUAUUAUUUGAUAUCAAAGAUUAUUUAGAAGUUGUUUAUAUUUAUUAGAAGAAUAAAUAAACCUAGAUUCAGUUUAACAUAAACCUUGUGUUUCACUUUAUUCAAUAAACCUAAGAGGUUAUUGGGCUCCAGUGCACGCUUCCACUGCGUACGUGAUUGAUUUAUUGAAAAUAAAUUGAGUGAAGUGAUUGACCACAAGAUGUCAGAGUCAGAUAAAAAGCUUACACUGGUUGAUUACGACAGUGAGGGAAGUUUCGAGAAAAUUGAAGAUUCUGGAAAUGCUGAAAAGGACCCAGCAUUGCAGAUUAAGACUGAGAAAACUGAAGACACGCUCUACAGUUUGUCUCAAUUCCACAAAGGUUUAUUGCAACAAACAAAAGGCAAUCCAGAUUCAUCAACGAAAUCUAGUGACAUUAAAGAUGUAAAAGAUUCACUUAAAAGGAUGAACAACUUCUCAACUCCUGUCAAACCAGGUCAAUCGACGAGUACAGAUGAUGGUACAGAUGACCGUAAGAAUGAAAGUAAAGAUGAUGAUACUAAAGAUGAUGAUGAUUUUAAAGACAAGAGUGAAAAUACCAAGAUUAAAAUUAGAAGCAGCAAAAAGAUGUUAAUGCUUGGUAAUAAAGAUUUAGAAGAUAUGAAGAGGUUGAUGCUGGAGUCAAACAAGCAGACUCAAGAAAUAGCAACGUCAAUUGCAAGAACAGCUAGGAGACUCGAGGAAGUCUCUGCUGCAAUGUUAGAUGCCCUAAAGGUGAUGACAAAAGGGUAUAAAGCAGAGUUAGAUCGCGAAAAGACUAAAGCGGAAACAGCAAAGUUAGAAGCAGAAAAGAAGACCGGAGAUGGAGAUGAUACUGUUAAAGCACAGACAGCCAAAUUUGACAGUAAAACAAGAUGUUAUAGAUGUGCUAAGACUGGACAUAGAAUCGAGGACUGUCCACUGUCAAAAGAUUUGUGGUUUUGCUACUUUUGCCAGGACAUUAAGAAACACAAAGGUGCAGAAUGCAAGGAAGGAAGACUCACAAAAUUAUAACAAGAACGAUCAACAGUCAGCUCAAAAUGCACACAACAACAGAAGUGCAAAAAGAGUGACUGACGAAAGAAAAGAAAAACCGACUGACAGAAAGAAGUAGAGCAGUGGAAGCUGGAUACAA
RNAcentral lists this unclassified non-coding RNA (1415 nucleotides) under Cotesia glomerata. RNAcentral describes it as "uncharacterized LOC123259476, transcript variant X2". Lineage: Eukaryota; Metazoa; Arthropoda; Insecta; Hymenoptera; Braconidae. The record is from RNAcentral.